UACGGAGGGUGCGAGCGUUGUCCGGAAUCACUGGGCGUAAAGGGCGCGUAGGUGGCGCGGGAAGUCAACGGUGAAAGUUCGGGGCUCAACCCUGAAUCGGCCGUCGAUACUCCCGGGCUCGAGCACUGUAGAGGCAGAUGGAAUUCCGGGUGUAGCGGUGGAAUGCGUAGAGAUCCGGAAGAACACCGGUGGCGAAGGCGGCUUGCUGGACCUGGUCUGACGCUGAGGCGCGAAAGCGUGGGGAUCAAACAGG
RNAcentral lists this ribosomal RNA (253 nucleotides) under uncultured bacterium. RNAcentral describes it as "partial 16S ribosomal RNA". It matches the Rfam family "Bacterial small subunit ribosomal RNA", at positions 524 to 776 of the family's 1533-position model. The record is from RNAcentral.